GGCCUAUCCAACUAUAACCCACUUGGCACCUCCUAAAUGGGAUUCCAUAAUCUCCAAAAAAAAAAAAAAAAAAAAAUCCUAGAAUGACACGUGGCAAGCCAGUUUUAUUAGUUUAGUUCUUCACAUUUUAGCAUAUCCAAUGGCAUCCUUGGCAACCUUUACUGCAGUGCAGCCCUCUUGUGUUAAGGGCCUUGCAGGGAGCUCCAUUGCUGGAACUAAGCUCCAUGUUAAACCAUCUUCCCUAAAAGUCAAGAUCACAAACUAUAGGUAACAAUUCUUGACUCUGUGCGUUGAACGACAUCCAAGUAAUUAGAAAGGAGACACGUUUAUUAAUAUGAAUUUGAACUCAGGCCUCGUGUCUGCUUAGAUACCACAUUGAAACCACAUCAUUCAUAUCGAGUGGGAGGAGCCAAUUAUGUUCCAUUAAUUGUAUUCGCAUAUUUCAUGAUGUCAACUGACUAGAAUAUGUGAAAUUAGAUAAUGUUGAAUCUAUUGUUUUGCAGGGCUGGUGCUGUGGUGGCUAAGUAUGGUGACAAGAGUGUUUACUUUGAUUUGGAGGAUCUGGGCAACACCACUGGCCAAUGGGACUUGUAUGGAUCAGAUGCACCUUCACCAUACAACCCCCUUCAGGUAUAUUUCCACCUUGAAUAUAGAGGAAGUGUCAAAGUGGGUCGAGCAGUCUGGACCGUGAAAAGUUCAGUGCUGGGCUAGUAUUAUAGUGUAGUUUCGUUGUUGACAUUCAUUUACGAUCACAGAGCAAGUUCUUCGAGACAUUUGCUGCUCCUUUCACCAAGAGAGGUCUUUUGCUGAAGUUCUUGAUAUUGGGAGGUGGCAUCACCAUUGCUUAUGUGAGCUCCAAAGCAACAGGAGACGUUUUACCUAUUGUAAAGGGCCCACAACUUCCACCCAAGCCAGGACCACGUGGCAAAAUCUAAUUUCCCAGAUAUAACAUUUUCAACCUUUAUAAAUUUAUUGUGUUCAAUGUGUCAUUUCAACAGCCUGUAAGCAUAUCAGAAUCUACUUUUACUGUUUAAUAUUACAAGUAUUUCAGUACAAUUCUUGUUGUAUCUGAUUCAAUUUUAAAGUAACUCGAGUACAAUUAAGUGAUCAAUUUCAAAAUAAGUCAAGAGUAUAAUUCAGCAUAUGCUUCCAAGUUACAGAACUAGCACUAGAAUUUUACUAGAUUUCUAUGGCAAGACCGAAAUGCAUACGUACAUUAGGGCUGAGCUUUUAUGCUAGAGUCGAGUUCUGUCAGUUAUUCAUCUGCAACAAAAUCAAUUAAUGGCGUGCUGUUGGACUUCUUGCACCCCCUAGGUUCUCUAGCCUCUCUAUGUAGGAAAAUUUCUUGUUCGUCAUAAUGUUUAGCGGUUUAGGGAGGACCUUUGAGUCAACAUCUUUCUUUGCAUCAGUCUCUCCUUGAUCUAAAUUCCAUCCCAUAAAGUCUAGCAGUGUCAUUGAAGUUGGCGUUUCAUCUGAAUUUGUUUUCUCUAAUUCGUCGUUAGGAUUUGGAAAUUUCACUGUAAUAGGUGAAGGGUCUUUUAAGGUGUACCUCUUUUGUUCUCCAUUUGAUGGAUUCUGUGCAAGAGAGUCGGCUUGUAAGACAUCUUCUAUUCUCGACAACACUGUGAACGCUAGGCUUUCAAUUAUUCUUGAAUAGCUUUCAAGAAUAGCAUGU
RNAcentral lists this long non-coding RNA (1675 nucleotides) under Olea europaea subsp. europaea. The record is from RNAcentral. Lineage: Eukaryota; Viridiplantae; Streptophyta; Magnoliopsida; Lamiales; Oleaceae.